This 406-nucleotide ribosomal RNA is filed under the name uncultured bacterium. Its description in RNAcentral is "partial 16S ribosomal RNA". It matches the Rfam family "Bacterial small subunit ribosomal RNA", at positions 30 to 526 of the family's 1533-position model. The record is from RNAcentral.
AUUGAACGCUGGCGGCAGGCCUAACACAUGCAAGUCGAACGAGUGGCGGACGGGUGAGUAAUGUCUGGGAAACUGCCCGCUGGAGGGGGGUAACUACUGGAAACGGUAGCUAAUACCGCAUACCAUCGGAUGUGCCCAGAUGGGAUUGGCUAGUAGGUGGGGUAACGGCUCACCUAGGCGACGAUCCCUAGCUGGUCUGAGAGGAUGACGAGCCACACUGGAACUGAGACCCGGUCCAGACUCCUACGGGAGGCAGCAGUGGGGAAUAUUGCACAAUGGGCGCAAGCCUAAUGCAGCCAUGCCGCGUAUAUGAAGAAGGCCUUCGGGUUGUAGAGUACUUCCAGCGAGGAGGCGUUACUCGCAGAAGAAGCACCGGCUAACUCCGUGCCAGCAGCCGCGGUAAUAC